GAUGAAGAACGUAGCGAAAUGCGAUAAGUAAUGUGAAUUGCAGAAUUCAGUGAACCAUCGAAUCUUUGAACGCACAUUGCGCCCUCUGGUAUUCCGGGGGGCAUGCCUGUCCGAGCGUCAUUUGCAACCCUCAAGCCCGGCUUGUGUGAUGGGUGCCGUCCCCUACGGGACGCGCCCCGAAGGCAAUGGCGGCGUCGCGGUUAUCCGAUCAGCCAAAGUGUAUGGGGCUUUGUCACUCACUUUACGGCCCGGACCGGCGCCAGUCCGAAUCAAUCUUUUUUCUAAAGUUGACCUCGGAUCAGGUAGGGAUACCCGCUGAACUUAAGCAUAUCAAUAAGCGGAGGA
RNAcentral lists this unclassified non-coding RNA (345 nucleotides) under soil metagenome. RNAcentral's name for it is "partial contains 5.8S ribosomal RNA, internal transcribed spacer 2, and large subunit ribosomal RNA". The stretch from base 1 to 120 matches the Rfam family "5.8S ribosomal RNA", at positions 35 to 154 of the family's 154-position model. The record is from RNAcentral.